GUGAGAGAAGAAGCCUUCAAGGACAACUCCUGCCCCAGCCGCCAUCAGACUGCAACCACAUGGGAGACCCUGAAUGAGAACCCACAGAUGAGCCCAGUCGCUCCCCAGAACCACGAGAGAUGGUGACAGUACACAAGUGCUGGUCUACAGCAUUAAGUUGAGGUCUGGAGUGGUCCCCAAGAUCCAGCAUUUCCAACACGCUCCCAGGUGACAUCGAUGCUGCAGCUGGUCUUCCGACCACACCUGGAGUAGCAAGAUUCUACAGCAGCACCACCAAGAGAAAUACAAGCCACCUAUGUAACUUUACAUUUUCUUGUAACUACACUAAAAAUAAUUUUAGUAACAUAUUUUACUUAAUCCAAUAUGUCCAAAACAUGAUCAUGUCAACAGGUA
RNAcentral lists this long non-coding RNA (393 nucleotides) under Equus caballus (horse). Its description in RNAcentral is "lncRNA (ENSECAG00000044001.1)". Lineage: Eukaryota; Metazoa; Chordata; Mammalia; Perissodactyla; Equidae. The record is from RNAcentral.